Molecule: non-coding RNA, 28 nt
Filed under: Mus musculus (house mouse)
Lineage: Eukaryota; Metazoa; Chordata; Mammalia; Rodentia; Muridae
Source: RNAcentral
UGAAGCAACUAGCGGAACCAACUGGCUC